Lagopus muta (rock ptarmigan) is the source of this 482-nucleotide long non-coding RNA. RefSeq lists it as uncharacterized. Lineage: Eukaryota; Metazoa; Chordata; Aves; Galliformes; Phasianidae. The record is from RefSeq and is a predicted model, not a curated record. The transcript has 3 exons.
AAGGAUCUCAUCUGGAGAUCCCUCCUUCUGAUGUUUUGUAAGUGAGCCCAGCAUAAGGAUCUUCUUGGAGGCUGGUGAAUGUGAACUCUUCUCUCUUCAGGGAUGCUCAUUUAUUCUGGAUCAGAACCAGAAACCAGAAAGUGUAUUUUUCUAAGUGACGAAGAGGAUGCACUUAUUUCAUUGAAGACAUCACUUGUCCUAAAAACACAGAAAUAAGAAUCUUGAAAGGACUGCAGGAAGCUACCCUGCCAUGGCCCUGCACUGUCCUUAACAGCCUAAAGGAACAGAAAUACCUUCCUUUAUGGAUUGCAUUUUCUAAACCCAUUAGCAUUCUUUUUACCCUCCUCUGGAUCUUCACCAAGUUAUCUUUUUUAAAAUUCAGUGGACGCACCGGUCUGAGAUCCAUUUGGCUUCCAAGUAGAGCAGAAUAAUUACUUUUCAAGGCUUGCAUACAGUAUUCCUAUAAAAAUGUCUUAGACUAA